UCUGCCCAGUAGUGGGGGAACAAACUCCGAGAAAUCGGAGCUAAUACCGCAUACGGUCUGCUCGGAAACGAGCGAGACUAAAGCUUAGCAAUAAGCGCUAUUGGAGGAACCUGCGGCUGAUUAGCUAGUUGGUGGGGUAAAAGCCUACCAAGGCGAUGAUCAGUAGCUGGUCUGAGAGGAUGGACAGCCACACUGGGACUGAGAUACGGCCCAG
This 214-nucleotide ribosomal RNA is filed under the name uncultured bacterium. RNAcentral describes it as "partial 16S ribosomal RNA". It matches the Rfam family "Bacterial small subunit ribosomal RNA", at positions 125 to 334 of the family's 1533-position model. The record is from RNAcentral.